This 497-nucleotide ribosomal RNA is filed under the name uncultured bacterium. Its description in RNAcentral is "partial 16S ribosomal RNA". It matches the Rfam family "Bacterial small subunit ribosomal RNA", at positions 28 to 507 of the family's 1533-position model. The record is from RNAcentral.
GAUGAACGCUGGCGGCGUGCCUAAUACAUGCAAGUCGAGCGAACAGAUGAUGAGCUUGCUCCUCUGACGUUAGCGGCGGACGGGUGAGUAACACGUGUAUAACCUACCUGUAAGACUGAUAUAACUUCGGGAAACCGGAUCUAAUACCGGAUAAUAUAUUGAAGCGCAUUGGUCGAUGGUAAAAGACGGUGUUGCUGUCACUUAUAGAUGGAUCCGCGCCGCAUUAGCUAGUUGUUAAGGUAACGGCUUACCACGGCAACGAGGCGUAGACGAACUGACAGGGUGAUAGGCCACAUGGGAGCGUGACCACGGUCAAGACUACUACGGGAGGGAGCAGUAGGGAAUGUGCCGCAAUGGGCGAGAGCAUGACGGAGCAAGGGGACGUGAGUGAUGGCGGUCUUCGGAUCGUAAAAAUCUGUUACUAGGGAAGAACAAAUGUGUAAGUAAAUAUGCACGUAUUGACGGUAACUAAUAAGAAAGCAACGGCUAACUACGUG